This is a non-coding RNA of Flammeovirga sp. MY04, 74 nucleotides long. Lineage: Bacteria; Pseudomonadati; Bacteroidota; Cytophagia; Cytophagales; Flammeovirgaceae. The record is from Rfam.
UCCUCUUUAGCUCAGUUGGUUAGAGCAUCUGACUGUUAAUCAGAGGGUCCUUGGUUCGAGUCCAAGAAGAGGAG